RNAcentral lists this non-coding RNA (24 nucleotides) under Arabidopsis thaliana (thale cress). The record is from RNAcentral. Lineage: Eukaryota; Viridiplantae; Streptophyta; Magnoliopsida; Brassicales; Brassicaceae.
UCCAGCUCAAGCUAGCCAUUUGCC